GAUGAACGCUGGCGGCGUGCCUAAUACAUGCAAGUCGAGCGAACAGACGAGGAGCUUGCUCCUCUGACGUUAGCGGCGGACGGGUGAGUAACACGUGGAUAACCUACCUAUAAGACUGGGAUAACUUCGGGAAACCGGAGCUAAUACCGGAUAAUAUAUUGAACCGCAUGGUUCAAUAGUGAAAGACGGUUUUGCUGUCACUUAUAGAUGGAUCCGCGCCGCAUUAGCUAGUUGGUAAGGUAACGGCUUACCAAGGCAACGAUGCGUAGCCGACCUGAGAGGGUGAUCGGCCACACUGGAACUGAGACACGGUCCAGACUCCUACGGGAGGCAGCAGUAGGGACUCUUCCGCAAUGGGCGAAAGCCUGACGGAGCAACGCCGCGUGAGUGAUGAAGGUCUUCGGAUCGUAAAACUCUGUUAUUAGGGAAGAACAAAUGUGUAAGUAACUAUGCACGUCUUGACGGUACCUAAUCAGAAGGCCACGGCUAACUACGUG
Molecule: ribosomal RNA, 497 nt
Filed under: uncultured bacterium
Lineage: Bacteria
Description: partial 16S ribosomal RNA
Rfam family: Bacterial small subunit ribosomal RNA
Source: RNAcentral